RNAcentral lists this ribosomal RNA (709 nucleotides) under Bacillus sp. FJAT-4642. Its description in RNAcentral is "bacterial SSU rRNA". It matches the Rfam family "Bacterial small subunit ribosomal RNA", at positions 60 to 759 of the family's 1533-position model. The record is from RNAcentral. Lineage: Bacteria; Bacillati; Bacillota; Bacilli; Caryophanales; Bacillaceae.
AGUCGAGCGGACUUUGCCUUCGGGUAAAGUUAGCGGCGGACGGGUGAGUAACACGUGGGUAACCUGCCCAUAAGACCGGGAUAACAUUCGGAAACGAAUGCUAAUACCGGAUACGCGAAACGGUCGCAUGGCCGAAUCGGGAAAGGCGGAGCAAUCUGCCACUUAUGGAUGGACCCGCGGCGCAUUAGCUAGUUGGUGGGGUAACGGCUCACCAAGGCGACGAUGCGUAGCCGACCUGAGAGGGUGAUCGGCCACACUGGGACUGAGACACGGCCCAGACUCCUACGGGAGGCAGCAGUAGGGAAUCUUCCGCAAUGGACGAAAGUCUGACGGAGCAACGCCGCGUGAGUGAUGAAGGUUUUCGGAUCGUAAAGCUCUGUUGCCAGGGAAGAACGCUUGCGAGAGUAACUGCUCGCAAGGUGACGGUACCUGAGAAGAAAGCCCCGGCUAACUACGUGCCAGCAGCCGCGGUAAUACGUAGGGGGCAAGCGUUGUCCGGAAUUAUUGGGCGUAAAGCGCGCGCAGGCGGCCUUGUAAGUCUGUCGUUUAAACUCGGAGCUCAACUUCGAGUCGCGAUGGAAACUGCAAAGCUUGAGUGCAGAAGAGGAAAGUGGAAUUCCACGUGUAGCGGUGAAAUGCGUAGAGAUGUGGAGGAACACCAGUGGCGAAGGCGACUUUCUGGGCUGUAACUGACGCUGAGGCGCGAAAG